Molecule: ribosomal RNA, 292 nt
Filed under: uncultured Verrucomicrobiota bacterium
Lineage: Bacteria; Pseudomonadati; Verrucomicrobiota
Description: uncultured Verrucomicrobia bacterium partial 16S ribosomal RNA
Source: RNAcentral
GGACUACUGGGGUAUCUAAUCCCGUUUGCUCCCCUGGCUUUCGUGCCUCAGCGUCAGUAUCCGUCCAGAGACUCGCCUUCGCCGCUGGUGUUCCUCUCGAUAUCUACGCAUUUCACUGCUACACCGAGAAUUCCAGUCUCCCCUCCGGAACUCGAGCCGGAUAGUAUCAAGCGCACUUUCCAAGUUAGGCUUGGAGAUUUCACGCCAGACUUACCCGACCGCCUACGCACCCUUUACGCCCAGUAAAUCCGAACAACGCUUGGGACCUCUGUAUUACCGCGGCUGCUGGCAC